Molecule: ribosomal RNA, 497 nt
Filed under: uncultured bacterium
Lineage: Bacteria
Description: partial 16S ribosomal RNA
Rfam family: Bacterial small subunit ribosomal RNA
Source: RNAcentral
GAUGAACGCUGGCGGCGUGCCUAAUACAUGCAAGUCGAGCGAACAGACGAGGAGCUUGCUCCUUUGACGUUAGCGGCGGACGGGUGAGUAACACGUGGGUAACCUACCUAUAAGACUGGGAUAACUUCGGGAAACCGGAGCUAAUACCGGAUAAUAUUUCGAACCGCAUGGUUCGAUAGUGAAAGAUGGCUUUGCUAUCACUUAUAGAUGGACCUGCGCCGUAUUAGCUAGUUGGUAAGGUAACGGCUUACCAAGGCAACGAUACGUAGCCGACCUGAGGGGGUGAUCGGCCACACUGGAACUGAGACACGGUCCAGACUCCUACGGGAGGCAGCAGUAGGGAAUCUUCCGCAAUGGGCGAAAGCCUGACGGAGCAACGCCGCGUGAGUGAUGAAGGUCUUCGGAUCGUAAAACUCUGUUAUUAGGGAAGAAUAAACGUGUAAGUAACUGUGCACGUCUUGACGGUACCUAAUCAGAAAGCCACGGCUAACUACGUG